This 600-nucleotide long non-coding RNA is filed under the name Elaeis guineensis (African oil palm). RNAcentral describes it as "long non-coding RNA (EGUI_LNC076115)". The record is from RNAcentral. Lineage: Eukaryota; Viridiplantae; Streptophyta; Magnoliopsida; Arecales; Arecaceae.
UAUCUACAAUGAAACAACCUACUGACAAAAAUUAUCAGGCUAUGAUCAGAUUAGAUCAAAAUUUAUAGCAUCCUUUCAUUAUCAAUAAAAUCUUUCCUUAUUUGCAACUAAUGUAUUCCAUCAUAACUUUUGAUUUAAAGGAUUAAUAUUUCUAAUCAAUUCAGAGCAUCACGCUUUUGCUACGCACUCUGAUCUCAACUUACCAAAUUAUAUAAGUCUAUCAAAGAUAAAAUAUCCUUAUAUGUUAGAUCAAUCCAAGAUAGAUCCAACCUUCAAAUUUUAUAUAAGACUUAGGGCAAAAUUUUAAGUUUCUUUAUCUUUACUACCUUCGGGUAUAGCAUAUAAAAAUUAAAUCUUGAUCCACUUUCUAUGUUUGAAAUCAUUCCAUAAGUUUCAUCACUCUUCAAAAAUCCGACAUGUCUAGAAUUAAUUGGAGUUAAUCUUAAAUUUACCUUACAAUCAUUUAGAUAAUUUCUAAAUCAAUCUUCCUUUUUAAAAGAAUUAAUUCUAACUUGACAACUAAAAGAACUCAAGCCAACAUCCUUAUGAGUAGAAUCAACUUGAUUAUUUCUUAUAGAGCUCUCUUCAUCACAACCCUUA